RNAcentral lists this long non-coding RNA (395 nucleotides) under Ananas comosus (pineapple). Its description in RNAcentral is "long non-coding RNA (ACOM_LNC024209)". Lineage: Eukaryota; Viridiplantae; Streptophyta; Magnoliopsida; Poales; Bromeliaceae. The record is from RNAcentral.
UAUUUUCAGUAAUUAUUCUUGUUAUUACUUGUUCUUUCAUACUGCUUAGUUAUUUACUAUUUCUACCUUUAUGAACCUAAUAGUGUAGACUGUCAGCAUUGUGGACCGUACGACUAUACCCAUUGAAGAUUAUUGAUUAUAGUUCUCACACCCUUUUUGUUGCUAUUUUUUAUUUCAAAGCCCUCAGUAUCGGUGACUGAUCAAGGUAAGGGGAUUGUGGAUAGCUAAUAUGUCCUACCCAUCUUGUGUGUAGCUGGACCACCCAUCAGUGUAUAUUAUAGCUGUACAGAGUUUUGAGAUCUGGUAGGGCUAGUGAUGUUGUAUUAUUUUGAGGAUUGGUGUUGUAUAAUUGUAUAUUUACAGUGUUGCUGUAGAUAUUAUUCCUAUUUUGAUAU